AUGGAACACGUUGAGAAUCCUAUUGAGGGUGACAAUGAAACUCCUGUAAGGAGUAAGAGACAGAGGAUUGCAAUGUCCUUUGGUGAUGAUUUCAUUGUGUACCUUGUGGAUGACACGCAUAGGACUAUUUCAGAAGCCUAUGCAUCUUCUGAUGCUGACUACUGGAAGGAAGCUGUUCGUAGCGAGAUGGAUACCAUCUUAGCUAAUGGGACCUGGGAGAUCACUGACCGUCCUUAUGGGUGCAAACCUGUAGGAUGUAAGUGGGUGUUCAAGAAGAAGCUUAGACCUGAUGGUACGAUUGAAAAGUACAAGGCACGGCUUGUGGCUAAGGGUUAUACCCAGAAAGAAGGUGAAGACUACUUUGAUACUUACUCACCCGUGGCUAGACUGACCACAAUUCGGUUGCUACUAUCACUAGCUGCCUCAGAUGGUCUUCUCGUUCAUCAAAUGGACGUUAAGACGGCUUUCCUCAAUGGAGAGUUGAAGGAGGAAAUUUACAUGGAUCAGCCAGAUGGUUUUGUAGUACCUGGUCAGGAAGGAAAGGUGUGCAAGUUGUUAAAGUCUUUAUAUGGCCUUAAACAAGCUCCUAAGGAGUGGCAUGAGAAGUUCGAAAGAACAUUAACUGCUGUCGGCUUUGUAGUAAAUGAUGGUGACAAGUGUGUGUACUAUCGCCAUAGUGGGGGCGAAGGAGUUAUUCUUUGUCUGUAUGUCGACGACAUAUUGAUCUUUGGAACCAAACUUGAUUUAAUCAAGGAGGUUAAGGAUUUCUUAUCUUGUUGUUUUGAGAUGAAGGAUCUAGGAGUAGCUGAUGUUAUCUUAAACAUCAAGCUGUCGAGAGAUGAGAAUGGUGGGAUCACACUGCUUCAGUCUCACUAUGUGGAAAAGGUCUUGAGUCGUUUUUGGUAUAGCGACUGCACGCCUUCUCCAACUCCAUAUGAUGCUAGUGUUGCCACGAGGCCUGACAUCUCUUUUGCUGUGAGCAAGCUGAGUCGGUUUGUGUCAAAACCGGGAGAUGAUCAUUGGUGUGCGCUUGAGAGAGUUAUGCGCUACUUGAAGGGCACUGCGAGCUAUGGGAUUCACUACACUGGGUAUCCAAGGGUACUGGAGGGUUAUAGUGACUCAAACUGGAUAUCUGAUGCUGAUGAGAUUAACGCCACAAGUGGUUAUGUUUUUACACUUGGUGGUGACACUGCCACUGUUGAAGCAGAGUGGCUUCGUGAGCUAUUGAUGGACUUACCUAUGGUUGAAAAACCAAUACCCCCUAUCCCGAUGAACUGUGAUAAUCAAACUGUGAUCGUCAAGAUAAACAGUUCUAAGGACAAUAUGAAGUCCUCAAGGCAUGUGAAGAGGAGAUUAAAAUCUGUCAGGAAACUAAGAAACUCCGGAGUUAUUACGUUGGAUUAUAUUUAA
Molecule: ribosomal RNA, 1410 nt
Filed under: Triticum aestivum (bread wheat)
Lineage: Eukaryota; Viridiplantae; Streptophyta; Magnoliopsida; Poales; Poaceae
Description: partial small subunit ribosomal RNA
Source: RNAcentral